Molecule: ribosomal RNA, 400 nt
Filed under: uncultured bacterium
Lineage: Bacteria
Description: bacterial SSU rRNA
Rfam family: Bacterial small subunit ribosomal RNA
Source: RNAcentral
UGGGGAAUAUUGGACAAUGGGCGCAAGCCUGAUCCAGCAAUACCGCGUGAGUGAUGAAGGUCUUCGGAUUGUAAAGCUCUUUUAGUAGAGAAGAUAAUGACGGUAUCUACAGAAAAAGCACCGGCAAACUUCGUGCCAGCAGCCGCGGUAAUACGAAGGGUGCUAGCGUUGUUCGGAAUCACUGGGCGUAAAGCGUACGUAGGCGGUUUAGUAAGUCGAUUGUGAAAUCCCGGGGCUUAACCCUGUGAACUGCAACCGAAACUGCUUUGCUAGAAUAUGGUGGGGGAUAGUGGAAUUCCUAGUGUAGGGGUGAAAUCCGUAGAUAUUAGGAGGAAUACCGGUGGCGAAAGCGACUAUCUACGCCAUUAUUGACGCUAAGGUACGAAAGCGUGGGGAGCAA